This 255-nucleotide ribosomal RNA is filed under the name uncultured bacterium. RNAcentral describes it as "partial 16S ribosomal RNA". It matches the Rfam family "Bacterial small subunit ribosomal RNA", at positions 1246 to 1500 of the family's 1533-position model. The record is from RNAcentral.
GAAGCGAAGCCGCGAGGCGGAGCAAACCUCACAAACAGCGUCUCAGUUCAGAUUGCAGGCUGCAACCCGCCUGCAUGAAGUCGGAAUUGCUAGUAAUCGCGGAUCAGCAUGCCGCGGUGAAUACGUUCCCGGGCCUUGUACACACCGCCCGUCACACCAUGAGAGCCGGGGGGACCCGAAGUCCGUAGCUUAACCGUAAGGAGGGCGCGGCCGAAGGUAAAACUGGUGAUUGGGGUGAAGUCGUAACAAGGUAGC